RNAcentral lists this ribosomal RNA (470 nucleotides) under uncultured bacterium. Its description in RNAcentral is "bacterial SSU rRNA". It matches the Rfam family "Bacterial small subunit ribosomal RNA", at positions 33 to 518 of the family's 1533-position model. The record is from RNAcentral.
GACGCUGGCGGCGUGCCUAACACAUGCAAGUCGAGCGAGGAGAUUCCUUCGGGAUGAUCCUAGCGGCGGACGGGUGAGUAACACGUGGGCAACCUGCCUCAUAGAGAGGAAUAGCCUUCCGAAAGGGAGAUUAAUACCUCAUAACAUUGCAGUUUCGCAUGGAACAGCAAUUAAAGGAGUAAUCCGCUAUGAGAUGGGCCCGCGGCGCAUUAGCUAGUUGGUGAGGUAACGGCUCACCAAGGCGACGAUGCGUAGCCGACCUGAGAGGGUGAUCGGCCACAUUGGGACUGAGACACGGCCCAGACUCCUACGGGAGGCAGCAGUGGGGAAUAUUGCACAAUGGGGGAAACCCUGAUGCAAGCAACGCCGCGUGAGUGAUGACGGCCUUCGGGUUGUAAAGCUCUGUCUUCAGGGACGAUAAUGACGGUACCUGAGGAGGAAGCCACGGCUAACUACGUGCCAGCAGCCGC